GACCCUUCCCAGCCCUGCAGCAUCCCUUGAGCAAAGGGGCAAAAGCUCCUCUCAACUGGGGCAUGCUGGGGGUGCCCGUUGCCAGGCCAGGAGUCCUGCAGCUGGAGUGGAGCCAUGGGGCCACAUUACGCAGUGCAGGGGGGAUUGAUGGCCAUGUGCGGUUUCCCGUGUUUCUCGGAGGACGUGGAUGCCGCUGUGGCUCCAUCUCCCUGGAGGCCCAGCUGGGAGGCAAACGAAGAUUUCAUGAAACAGAUGUGCAGUGCUACUGUGUGUGCCGAUGUCUCCUGCUCAGCCUCAGACCUGGCUGCUGCUCUGAGGGACAUCCAGAUAUAGGAUGAAAAAAUCGCAGCCAAGAACCUGCAGGAACUGAAUGAGUGGUACAAAACCAGAUUUCCUGACUUUAAUCAAGCUUCCACAAAACAUGCUGAGAAUGUGAGACAUUUCAGGGAAGGAACGGGGAAAAGAAGUGUAAGUGGAAUUGAAAACCCCUUCCAGCUUAUGUUAUGUCACUUCUAAUGGAAGCCUUUGUUAUGAUUUCACUAAGUUAGGUAAUGUGACAGUUGUCUGAUAUUUUUCCCAGUAAAGGUGGUCUUUUAGGCUAUAUUCUGCAACGAGGGAGGUGGAUUAGAGGAGUGGUGACUCUGGAUGUGACCCCAUGUCAAACCAGUAGGAAGUAUCCACAAAUAAUGUUUAUACAUAUGAAAUAAAAAUUCAUCUGCUCAGUAGCACGUAUCUGAACAUAAGGAUCCUGUUGUUCUUG
Molecule: long non-coding RNA, 760 nt
Organism: Aquila chrysaetos chrysaetos
Lineage: Eukaryota; Metazoa; Chordata; Aves; Accipitriformes; Accipitridae
Exons: 3
Source: RefSeq, a predicted model, not a curated record